RNAcentral lists this ribosomal RNA (246 nucleotides) under uncultured bacterium. RNAcentral's name for it is "partial 16S ribosomal RNA". It matches the Rfam family "Bacterial small subunit ribosomal RNA", at positions 524 to 769 of the family's 1533-position model. The record is from RNAcentral.
UACAGAGGGUGCGAGCGUUAAUCGGAAUUACUGGGCGUAAAGCGCACGUAGGCGGCUUGGUAUGUCGGGUGUGAAAUCCCCGGGCUCAACCUGGGAACUGCAUCCGAAACUGCCCUUGCUAGAGUAUGGGAGAGGGAAGUGGAAUUUCCGGUGUAGCGGUGAAAUGCGUAGAUAUCGGGAGGAACACCUGUGGCGAAGGCGGCCCCCUGGUGGAUACUGACGCUGAGACGCGAAAGCGUGGGGAGC